This 253-nucleotide ribosomal RNA is filed under the name uncultured bacterium. Its description in RNAcentral is "partial 16S ribosomal RNA". It matches the Rfam family "Bacterial small subunit ribosomal RNA", at positions 524 to 776 of the family's 1533-position model. The record is from RNAcentral.
UACGAAGGGGGCGAGCGUUGUUCGGAAUCACUGGGCGUAAAGGGCGCGUAGGCGGCCCUCUUAGUCGCGUGUGAAAGCCCCGGGCUCAACCUGGGAACGGCGCGCGAAACGGGAGGGCUGGAGUUCGGGAGAGGAGAGUGGAAUUCCCAGUGUAGAGGUGAAAUUCGUAGAUAUUGGGAAGAACACCGGUGGCGAAGGCGGCUCUCUGGACCGAGACUGACGCUGAGGCUCGAAAGCGUGGGGAGCAAACAGG